CCUACGGGAGGCAGCAGUGGGGAAUAUUGCACAAUGGGCGAAAGCCUGAUGCAGCAACGCCGCGUGAGUGAUGAAGGCCUUCGGGUUGUAAAGCUCUGCCUUCUGGGACGAUAAUGACGGUACCAGAGGAGGAAGCCACGGCUAACUACGUGCCAGCAGCCGCGGUAAU
This 169-nucleotide ribosomal RNA is filed under the name uncultured Clostridium sp. RNAcentral's name for it is "partial 16S ribosomal RNA". It matches the Rfam family "Bacterial small subunit ribosomal RNA", at positions 338 to 524 of the family's 1533-position model. Lineage: Bacteria; Bacillati; Bacillota; Clostridia; Eubacteriales; Clostridiaceae. The record is from RNAcentral.